This 375-nucleotide unclassified non-coding RNA is filed under the name uncultured bacterium. RNAcentral's name for it is "contains 16S-23S intergenic spacer region". The record is from RNAcentral.
UCCGGUUUGGCACCGGCAUUCUCCCAUGAGUCCCCGACAUAACUCGCUGGCAACAUGGGACAGGGGUUGCGCUCGUUGCGCCACUUAAGGCAACACCUCACGGCACGAGCUGACGACAGCCAUGCACCACCUGUGCAGGCUCCGAAGAGCACCCGCUUUCGCGGGUUUUACCCUGCAUGUCAAGCCCAGGUAAGGUUCUUCGCGUUGCGUCGAAUUAAACAACAUGCUCCACCGCUUGUGCGGGCCCCCGUCAAUUUCUUUGAGUUUUAGUCUUGCGACCGUACUCCCCAGGCGGAGUGCUUAACGCGUUAGCUUCGGCACCACGAGGGUCAAAGCCCGUGACACCUAGCACUCAUCGUUUACGGCGUGGACUAC